RNAcentral lists this ribosomal RNA (548 nucleotides) under Surirella sp.1 ECR-2011. RNAcentral describes it as "eukaryotic LSU rRNA". It matches the Rfam family "Eukaryotic large subunit ribosomal RNA", at positions 22 to 671 of the family's 3401-position model. Lineage: Eukaryota; Bacillariophyta; Bacillariophyceae; Surirellales; Surirellaceae. The record is from RNAcentral.
UACCCGCUGAAUUUAAGCAUAUAAUUAAGCAGAGGAAAAGAAACUAACUAGGAUUGGUCCAGUAACGGCGAGUGAAGGGCCAAGAGUCCAAAUGUGAAUCAUCACUUGUGAUGAAUUGUGGUAUGGAGGUCAUUUUGUUUGUGGUGCCAACAAAGUCCCCUGGAAUGGGGCAGCACAGAGGGUGAGACUCCCGUUUGUUAGCCAGCAGUAAAUUUGACCAUUGAGUCGAGUUGUUUGGGAUUGCAGCUCUAAGUGGGUGGUAAAUUCCAUCCAAGGCUAAAUAUGGGUGAGAGACCAAUAGUAUACAAGUACCGUGAGGGAAAGAUGCAAAGCCGCGCGAAAGCGCUGUCAAAGAGUACCUGAAAUUGCUGAAAUGGAAGCAAAGGAAACCAGUGUCAGCCACCCUGCAUUUCUCCUUUUGCUUGCAAAUGGGGCGCUGCAGAUGGCUAUGUUCUUGUUAGUGUGUUGCAGUGGAAGUCUCUGGCACUGUGAAACAAUAGCUGGGGCAAAAUGGUUUUCUUUUUCCCGUCUUGAAACACGGACCAAGG